UAGGAAUUAGUGUAAUGGUAACACAUAAGACUCAUGAUCUUUUAAUGGUAGUUCGAUUCUACUGUUCCUAC
Molecule: non-coding RNA, 71 nt
Organism: Actinomortierella wolfii
Lineage: Eukaryota; Fungi; Mortierellomycota; Mortierellomycetes; Mortierellales; Mortierellaceae
Source: the annotation of a GenBank genome assembly